This 71-nucleotide transfer RNA is filed under the name Clostridium sp. Its description in RNAcentral is "tRNA-Glu". It matches the Rfam family "tRNA". From Rfam's summary of the family: Transfer RNA (tRNA) molecules are approximately 80 nucleotides in length. Their secondary structure includes four short double-helical elements and three loops (D, anti-codon, and T loops). RNAcentral also lists the same sequence under 2 other names. The record is from RNAcentral. Lineage: Bacteria; Bacillati; Bacillota; Clostridia; Eubacteriales; Clostridiaceae.
GGCGGCUUAGUCAAAAGGCAAGACAAUAGGUUUUCAUCCUAUGAGUGUGGGUUCGAGUCCCGCAGCCGUCA